GGUUUAGCUCAGUUGGUAGAGCACUGGUCUCCAAAACCAGGUGUCGGGGGUUCGAGCCCUCCA
This 63-nucleotide transfer RNA is filed under the name uncultured Prevotella sp. It matches the Rfam family "tRNA", at positions 7 to 64 of the family's 71-position model. Rfam says of the family: Transfer RNA (tRNA) molecules are approximately 80 nucleotides in length. Their secondary structure includes four short double-helical elements and three loops (D, anti-codon, and T loops). Further hydrogen bonds mediate the characteristic L-shaped molecular structure. tRNAs have two regions of fundamental functional importance: the anti-codon, which is responsible for specific mRNA codon recognition, and the 3' end, to which the tRNAs corresponding amino acid is attached (by aminoacyl-tRNA synthetases). tRNAs cope with the degeneracy of the genetic code in two manners: having more than one tRNA (with a specific anti-codon) for a particular amino acid; and 'wobble' base-pairing, i.e. permitting non-standard base-pairing at the 3rd anti-codon position. Lineage: Bacteria; Pseudomonadati; Bacteroidota; Bacteroidia; Bacteroidales; Prevotellaceae. The record is from RNAcentral.